This 253-nucleotide ribosomal RNA is filed under the name uncultured bacterium. RNAcentral's name for it is "partial 16S ribosomal RNA". It matches the Rfam family "Bacterial small subunit ribosomal RNA", at positions 524 to 776 of the family's 1533-position model. The record is from RNAcentral.
UACAUAGGGGGCAGGCGUUAUCCGGAAUUAUUGGGUGUAAAGGGUGCGUAGACGGAGAAACAAGUUGGUUGUGAAAUCCCUCGGCUCAACCGAGGAACUGCAACCAAAACUAUUUCCCUUGAGUGUCGGAGAGGAAAGUGGAAUUCCUAGUGUAGCGGUGAAAUGCGUAGGUAUUAGGAGGAACACCAGUGGCGAAGGCGACUUUCUGGACGAUAACUGACGUUGAGGCACGAAAGUGUGGGGAGCAAACAGG